UUUUUGAGUAUAAUUUAAGGUCUAACCUGCCCACUGAUAAUUUUGAAGGGCCGCAGUAUUCUGACUGUGCAAAGGUAGCAUAAUCAUUUGCCUUUUAAUUAGAGGCUAGAAUGAAUGGUUGAACGAGGUAGGAUCUGUCUCAUUAUUAGAAUUUUAAUAAUUUAGCUUUUCAGUCAAAAGGCUGAAAUUUAAUUAGAGGACGAGAAGACCCUAUAGAGCUUUAUAGUUUUGUUAAUAAUAAAUUAUAGAUUAAAAUUAUUAUUUAUUAAUAAGAUUAUUUCGUUGGGGUGACGGGGAGAUAUAUGUAACUCUUUUGAUUAAAGAACAUUGAUUUAUGAAUUUUUGAUCCAUUUUUAGUGAUUAUUAAAAUAAGUUACCUUAGGGAUAACAGCGUAAUUUUGUUGGAGAGUUCAUAUCGAUAACAAAGAUUGCGACCUCGAUGUUGAAUUAAAGAAAUUCCUGAGUGCAGAAGUUUGGGGAAAUAGGUCUGUUCGACCUUUAAUUCUUU
RNAcentral lists this ribosomal RNA (508 nucleotides) under Obus sp. EH-2004. Its description in RNAcentral is "partial 16S ribosomal RNA". It matches the Rfam family "Bacterial large subunit ribosomal RNA", at positions 1830 to 2597 of the family's 2925-position model. The record is from RNAcentral. Lineage: Eukaryota; Metazoa; Arthropoda; Insecta; Neuroptera; Myrmeleontidae.